RNAcentral lists this ribosomal RNA (2927 nucleotides) under Enterobacter cloacae complex sp. RNAcentral's name for it is "23S ribosomal RNA". It matches the Rfam family "Bacterial large subunit ribosomal RNA". Lineage: Bacteria; Pseudomonadati; Pseudomonadota; Gammaproteobacteria; Enterobacterales; Enterobacteriaceae. The record is from RNAcentral.
GGGUUGUGAGGUUAAGCGACUAAGCGUACACGGUGGAUGCCCUGGCAGUCAGAGGCGAUGAAGGACGUGCUAAUCUGCGAAAAGCGCCGGCGAGGUGAUAUGAACCUUUGACCCGGCGAUGUCCGAAUGGGGAAACCCAGUGCAAUUCGUUGCACUAUCGUUAACUGAAUACAUAGGUUAACGAGGCGAACCGGGGGAACUGAAACAUCUAAGUACCCCGAGGAAAAGAAAUCAACCGAGAUUCCCCCAGUAGCGGCGAGCGAACGGGGAGCAGCCCAGAGUCUGAAUCAGCUUGUGUGUUAGUGGAAGCGUCUGGAAAGUCGCACGGUACAGGGUGACAGUCCCGUACACGAAAGCACACAGGCUGUGAACUCGAAGAGUAGGGCGGGACACGUGGUAUCCUGUCUGAAUAUGGGGGGACCAUCCUCCAAGGCUAAAUACUCCUGACUGACCGAUAGUGAACCAGUACCGUGAGGGAAAGGCGAAAAGAACCCCGGCGAGGGGAGUGAAAAAGAACCUGAAACCGUGUACGUACAAGCAGUGGGAGCACCUUCGUGGUGUGACUGCGUACCUUUUGUAUAAUGGGUCAGCGACUUAUAUUCUGUAGCAAGGUUAACCGUAUAGGGGAGCCGAAGGGAAACCGAGUCUUAACUGGGCGUUAAGUUGCAGGGUAUAGACCCGAAACCCGGUGAUCUAGCCAUGGGCAGGUUGAAGGUUGGGUAACACUAACUGGAGGACCGAACCGACUAAUGUUGAAAAAUUAGCGGAUGACUUGUGGCUGGGGGUGAAAGGCCAAUCAAACCGGGAGAUAGCUGGUUCUCCCCGAAAGCUAUUUAGGUAGCGCCUCGUGAAUUCAUCUUCGGGGGUAGAGCACUGUUUCGGCUAGGGGGCCAUCCCGGCUUACCAACCCGAUGCAAACUACGAAUACCGAAGAAUGUUAUCACGGGAGACACACGGCGGGUGCUAACGUCCGUCGUGAAGAGGGAAACAACCCAGACCGCCAGCUAAGGUCCCAAAGUCAUGGUUAAGUGGGAAACGAUGUGGGAAGGCACAGACAGCCAGGAUGUUGGCUUAGAAGCAGCCAUCAUUUAAAGAAAGCGUAAUAGCUCACUGGUCGAGUCGGCCUGCGCGGAAGAUGUAACGGGGCUAAACCAUGCACCGAAGCUGCGGCAGCGACGCUUAUGCGUUGUUGGGUAGGGGAGCGUUCUGUAAGCCGUUGAAGGUGGCCUGUGAGGGUUGCUGGAGGUAUCAGAAGUGCGAAUGCUGACAUAAGUAACGAUAAAGCGGGUGAAAAGCCCGCUCGCCGGAAGACCAAGGGUUCCUGUCCAACGUUAAUCGGGGCAGGGUGAGUCGACCCCUAAGGCGAGGCCGAAAGGCGUAGUCGAUGGGAAACAGGUUAAUAUUCCUGUACUUGGUGUUACUGCGAAGGGGGGACGGAGAAGGCUAUGUUAGCCGGGCGACGGUUGUCCCGGUUUAAGCAUGUAGGCGGAGGUUCCAGGUAAAUCCGGUACCUUAUUAACGCUGAGGUGUGAUGACGAGGCACUACGGUGCUGAAGUAACAAAUGCCCUGCUUCCAGGAAAAGCCUCUAAGCAUCAGGUAACAUCAAAUCGUACCCCAAACCGACACAGGUGGUCAGGUAGAGAAUACCAAGGCGCUUGAGAGAACUCGGGUGAAGGAACUAGGCAAAAUGGUGCCGUAACUUCGGGAGAAGGCACGCUGAUAUGUAGGUGAAGCCCCUGCGGGUGGAGCUGAAAUCAGUCGAAGAUACCAGCUGGCUGCAACUGUUUAUUAAAAACACAGCACUGUGCAAACACGAAAGUGGACGUAUACGGUGUGACGCCUGCCCGGUGCCGGAAGGUUAAUUGAUGGGGUUAGCGGCAACGCGAAGCUCUUGAUCGAAGCCCCGGUAAACGGCGGCCGUAACUAUAACGGUCCUAAGGUAGCGAAAUUCCUUGUCGGGUAAGUUCCGACCUGCACGAAUGGCGUAAUGAUGGCCAGGCUGUCUCCACCCGAGACUCAGUGAAAUUGAACUCGCUGUGAAGAUGCAGUGUACCCGCGGCAAGACGGAAAGACCCCGUGAACCUUUACUAUAGCUUGACACUGAACACUGGUCCUUGAUGUGUAGGAUAGGUGGGAGGCUUUGAAGCGUGGACGCCAGUCUGCGUGGAGCCGUCCUUGAAAUACCACCCUUUAAUGGCUGGUGUUCUAACGUAGACCCGUGAUCCGGGUUGCGGACAGUGUCUGGUGGGUAGUUUGACUGGGGCGGUCUCCUCCCAAAGAGUAACGGAGGAGCACGAAGGUUAGCUAAUCCUGGUCGGACAUCAGGAGGUUAGUGCAAUGGCAUAAGCUAGAUUGCCUGCGAGAGUGACGGCUCGAGCAGGCGCGCAAGCAGGCUCUAGUGAUCCGGUGGUUCUGAAUGGAAGGGCCCUCGCUCAACGGAUAAAAGGGACCCCGGGGAUAACAGGCUGACACCGCCCAAGAGUUCAUAUCGACGGCGGUGUUUGGCACCUCGAUGUCGGCUCAUCACAUCCUGGGGCUGAAGUAGGUCCCAAGGGUAUGGCUGUUCGCCAUUUAAAGUGGUACGCGAGCUGGGUUUAGAACGUCGUGAGACAGUUCGGUCCCUAUCUGCCGUGGGCGCUGGAGAAUUGAGGGGGGCUGCUCCUAGUACGAGAGGACCGGAGUGGACGCAUCACUGGUGUUCGGGUUGUCAUGCCAAUGGCACUGCCCGGUAGCUAAAUGCGGAAAAGAUAAGUGCUGAAAGCAUCUAAGCACGAAACUUGCCCCGAGAUGAGUUCUCCCUGACCCUUUAAGGGUCCUGAAGGAACGUUGAAGACGACGACGUUGAUAGGUCGGGUGUGUAAGCGCAGCGAUGCGUUGAGCUAACCGAUACUAAUGAACCGUGAGGCUUAACCUUACAACGCCGAAG